GGCUGGAUCACCUCCUUUCUAAGGAGCUAGAAGACUAGAUCUUCCAAGCUUACCUAGGUCAAACACAAUCACGUACAACACUGCUAUUCGGUUUUGAGAGACCAGAGUCUUCUCUGGUUUUUUGCUCUUUACAGAUUAAGUGGAUCGUGGAAGCGAUAACACGAUGAUGGGCUUGUAGCUCAGUUGGCUAGAGCACACGACUGAUAAUCGUGAGGUCGCUGGUUCGAGUCCAGCCAGGCCCACCAACCUUUUUUGGGGGUGUAGCUCAGCUGGGAGAGCACCUGCCUUGCACGCAGGGGGUCAUCGGUUCGAUCCCGUUCACCUCCACCAAAAAUUCAGUUCAAGGUUCAUAGUUCAUGGUUCGCAGUUAACCUUGAACCACAAACACAGAACCUCGAACCGUAUUCAGUUCUUUGACAAUUGCAUAGUGGAUAGUUUAGGUAGUAAAAGCGUAUAAGUGUGCGUUUUUACUUUGAUUGUAUGUUUUGUAGAUUGAUUUCGAUUUUUAUGGUCAAGCUACUAAGGGCGUACGGUGGAUGCCUAGGCAGAGAGAGGCGAUGAAGGACGUGGUAAACUGCGAUAAGCUUCGGUGAGCCGUUAAACAGGCUUUGACCCGGAGAUUUCCGAAUGGGGAAACCCGGCAGGGGUAAUGCCCUGUCACUGUGUACUGAAUACAUAGGUACAUAGGGCGAACGAGGGGAACUGAAACAUCUAAGUACCCUCAGGAGAAGAAAACAAUAGUGAUUCCGUAAGUAGCGGCGAGCGAACGCGGAGUAGCCCAAACCAGAACUACUUCGGUAUUUCUGGGGUUGCGGGGCCUCAACAUGGGAUUGAUGAAGGGUAGCUGAGCGGUCUGGAAAGGCCGGCCAUAGUGGGUGAUAGCCCCGUAAGCGAAACUCUGAUUCACCUUAGAGGAACCCCAAGUACCGCGGAACACGAGAAAUUCCGUGGGAAUCCGGGAGGACCAUCUCCCAAGGCUAAAUACUCCUCUCUGACCGAUAGUGAACCAGUACCGUGAGGGAAAGGUGAAAAGUACUCCGAUAAGGAGGGUGAAAUAGAACCUGAAACCGUAUGCCUACAAGCAGUGGGAGCACCAUGUAUAUCAGGUGUGACCGCGUGCCUUUUGCAUAAUGAGUCAGCGAGUUACUCUUGCUAGCGAGGUUAAGUUCAUAGAACGGAGCCGUAGCGAAAGCGAGUCUUAACUGGGCGUCCAGUUAGCAGGAGUAGACCCGAAACCGGGUGAUCUAUCCAUGGCCAGGGUGAAAGGAAGGUAACACUUCGUGGAGGCCCGAACCCACUGGCGUUGAAAGCCAGGGGAUGAGCUGUGGAUAGGAGUGAAAGGCUAAUCAAACUCGGAGAUAGCUGGUUUUCCUCGAAAUAUAUUUAGGUAUAGCCUCGCGUAUGCGUAACGGGGGUAGAGCACUGGAUGGGCUAGGGGUCUAACCAGAUUACCAAACCCAAUCAAACUCCGAAUACCGUUAACGAAGAGCGCGGGAGUCAGACGGCGGGUGAUAAGAUCCGUCGUCAAAAGGGAAAGAGCCCAGACCGCCAGCUAAGGUCCCAAAUCUACGCUAAGUGGAAAACGAUGUGGAAAUGCCCAGACAACCAGGAGGUUGGCUUAGAAGCAGCCAUCCUUUAAAGAAAGCGUAAUAGCUCACUGGUCGAGUGGGUCUGCGCGGAAAAUGUAACGGGGCUAAGCGUAGUACCGAAGCUGCGGAUCGACAUCUUAAGAUGCCGGUGGUAGAGGAACAUUGUGUAAGCCUGUGAAGGUCGACCGUGAGGACGGCUGGAGGUAUCACAAGAGAUUAUGCUGACAUGAGUAGCGAAAAUGCGGGUGAGAAACCUGCACACCGUAAACCCAAGGUUUCCUCCGUAAAGGUAAUCUGCGGAGGGUUAGUCGAUCCCUAAGGCGAGGCCGAAAGGCGUAGUUGAUGGGAAACAGGUUAAUAUUCCUGUACCACCUGUUGUUGCGAUGGGGGGACGGAGAAGGGUAGGCGAGCCGGUUACUGGAUUUUCCGGUUUAAGCGUGUAGGGGGGGAGAGUAGGCAAAUCCGCUUUCCCGUUAACCCUGAGACGUGAUGACGAGAGCGUAUGCUCAUAAAGUCGUUGAUCCCAUGCUUCCAAGAAAAGCCUCUAAGCUUCAGACAGCAGGUGAUCGUACCGUAAACCGACUCAGGUGGGUGAGGAGAGAAUCCUAAGGUGAUUGAGAGAACACUGGUUAAGGAACUCGGCAAAAUGACACCGUAACUUCGGGAUAAGGUGUGCCCUCAUUAGGUCUAGCGAUUUGCACGUGAAGCCGAAGAGGGUCGCAGAGAAAUGGCGGUAGCGACUGUUUACUAAAAACAUAGGUCUCUGCUAAGUCGUAAGACGAUGUAUAGGGACUGACGCCUGCCCGGUGCUGGAAGGUUAAGGGGAUUUGUUAGCGCAAGCGAAGCUUUGAACCGAAGCCCCAGUAAACGGCGGCCGUAACUAUAACGGUCCUAAGGUAGCGAAAUUCCUUGUCGGGUAAGUUCCGACCUGCACGAAUGGCGUAACGAUUUCCGCGCUGUCUCAACCAGUGACUCAGCGAAAUUGAAUUCUCGGUGAAGAUGCCGAGUACCCGCGGUAAGACGGAAAGACCCCGUGAACCUUUACUAUAGCUUGACAGUGACAUUCGGAAUAGCUUGUGUAGGAUAGGUGGGAGACUUUGAAGCUGGCACGCCAGUGUCGGUGGAGUCGCCCUUGAAAUACCACCCUGGUUGUUUUGGAUGUCUAACCUUGGCCCGUCAUCCGGGUCGGGGACACUGUCUGGUGGGUAGUUUGACUGGGGCGGUCGCCUCCCAAAGAGUAACGGAGGCGCG
This 2840-nucleotide unclassified non-coding RNA is filed under the name uncultured fungus. RNAcentral describes it as "sequence contains 18S rRNA gene, ITS1, 5.8S rRNA gene, ITS2, 28S rRNA gene". The stretch from base 510 to 2840 matches the Rfam family "Bacterial large subunit ribosomal RNA", at positions 1 to 2310 of the family's 2925-position model. The record is from RNAcentral. Lineage: Eukaryota; Fungi.